UCCAGACUCCUACGGGAGGCAGCAGUGGGGGAUAUUGCACAAUGGGGGGAACCCUGAUGCAGCGACGCCGCGUGGGUGAAGGAGCGUUUCGGCGCGUAAAGCCCUAUCGGCAGGGAAGAAGGAGGACGGUACCUGACUAAGAAGCCCCGGCUAACUACGUGCCAGCAGCCGCGGUAAUACGUAGGGGGCAAGCGUUAUCCGGAUUUACUGGGUGUAAAGGGGGCGCAGACGGCAGCGCAAGCCAGGAGUGAAAGCCCGGGGCCCAACCCCGGGACUGCUCUUGGAACUGCGCGGCUGGAGUGCAGGAGGGGCAGGCGGAAUUCCUGGUGUAGCGGUGAAAUGCGUAGAUAUCAGGAGGAACACCGGUGGCGAAGGCGGCCUGCUGGACUGCGACUGACGUUGAGGCCCGAAAGCGUGGGGAGCAAACAGGAUUAGAUACCCCAGUACC
This 448-nucleotide ribosomal RNA is filed under the name uncultured bacterium. RNAcentral's name for it is "partial 16S ribosomal RNA". It matches the Rfam family "Bacterial small subunit ribosomal RNA", at positions 330 to 794 of the family's 1533-position model. The record is from RNAcentral.